Molecule: long non-coding RNA, 1424 nt
Organism: Neogale vison (American mink)
Lineage: Eukaryota; Metazoa; Chordata; Mammalia; Carnivora; Mustelidae
Exons: 3
Source: RefSeq, a predicted model, not a curated record
CGGGGUUCGGGGCCGGCAAGCCGCAGGGCCGACCCGAGGCCCGCAUAGCUGGCCAGUGUUCAGAGUGAGUUACCGGGACCCGUGAGCAAGACGUGUCUGGACGGUGCGGAGCUCCCUAUGUCCUUGCCUGUCACAAUGUCCCGCCGCAGAGUCCUGCUUCUGUCCCCAGAAAUGCAUAGCAGAGCUGACUGCCAGGCUGCUUAUUUGUGUCUGGAAGGCUUGUGUCCAAGGAUGCGUCUUGGCCCUUCUCAGAGGAUCGCGUCAACGGAAACACACACAGAUGGUGGGGGUCUGGGGGCUCGGGACGAAGGGCAGGACAGGAAUUCAUGCGGGCUGCAGGGAGACCCCACCCACGGAGCCCUGGGGGGACGACUCCACGUGACCCUUGCGCUCUCGGUUUGGGGCCCUGGAUCCCGCCACGGUUGUGAGUUCUUCCAGACCUGCCCAGGGCAAACUUGGGGGCUGCGGUCAGAUCCCGCCCGUGAGAACCUGGGAGAGGCUGGGUGUCCUUUAUCCCAUGGUCGGGCGGCCUAGUGCACUGGAGCUGGGGGGCCCGCCGCCCCAGCACCCAGGUGACCACAGACUCGGGCUCGUCCCCGCUGCUGUGCCCGUCACUGCUGUUGCAGGCCUCCCUCCGCCCAGAGGCUGUGGCUGAUGCUGUCCUCUGCCACCCUGUGACCACCGGCAACCUCCAGCUCCUUCCCUCCCGUGGGCUUCCCUUCUCCGCCGGGGACGUCUCCGCCCCCCAGCCUCUUCUCUGCCCCUUUCAGAAGGUCCAGGCUCCUUUUGCUCAACAAGGUGGUGACAGACACACCACCACCGUGGGGGUGGGCCACGCAUCCCUGGGCUCGGUGGGAGGCAGAUCAGGCGAGUGGACAGAGCCCAGUGGGCUGUGAGGUUGUCCUUAUCAGAGACACAGCGAGGGACGCAGCGUCUUUACUGGGCAAGGGGUCCCGUCCUUGCCAGCAUGAAACGCCGCCAUCGUCAUCUGUGAAACAGUCUCUCUGUCUCUGGCCUUUGGGUCCUGACCCGCGGACCUACCUGCCAGCGUCGGCCCGGGACACAGUUCACUCCUCCGGACGGCGCUGUAGCCAGGCCCUUCCGCGCGUCCCUUCAAACACGCCUGCCUGCACGGCCGUCCCCGUGACGUCAGAAGCGGUGACGUCUCCCAUCCCACAGGAAUCUUCCUGGGACUGCGCAGGGAGUCUGGGCACAGUCGGGAACAUUGCCACUGACGUGACACGGAGUUGCUCGGGAAUGGGUCUCUCGACUUAUUUAGAACUUUGGGGGAAGUUUUCUGGUUUUCUUCUCUGUCAGGUCUUCUCCUCCUGGGCUCAUUCCUGGGCUUUAUUGCCAGCGCAAAUGGUGUGCUUUCCCCCAUAAAUGUUACCUAUUGUUUUAAUAAAUUGUAUUAUUUUUCUAUA